This 465-nucleotide ribosomal RNA is filed under the name uncultured bacterium. Its description in RNAcentral is "partial 16S ribosomal RNA". It matches the Rfam family "Bacterial small subunit ribosomal RNA", at positions 28 to 507 of the family's 1533-position model. The record is from RNAcentral.
GAUGAACGCUGGCGGCGUGCUUAACACAUGCAAGUCGAACGGAAAGGCUCCUGCUUGCAGGGGUACUCGAGUGGCGAACGGGUGAGUAACACGUGGGUGAUCUGCCCUGCACUUCGGGAUAAGCCUGGGAAACUGGGUCUAAUACCGGAUAGGACGAUGUUUUGGAUGCCAUUGUGGAAAGUUUUUCGGUGUGGGAUGAGCUCGCGGCCUAUCAGCUUGUUGGUGGGGUAAUGGCCUACCAAGGCGUCGACGGGUAGCCGGCCUGAGAGGGUGUACGGCCACAUUGGGACUGAGAUACGGCCCAGACUCCUACGGGAGGCAGCAGUGGGGAAUAUUGCACAAUGGGCGCAAGCCUGAUGCAGCGACGCCGCGUGGGGGAUGACGGCCUUCGGGUUGUAAACUCCUUUCGCUAGGGACGAAGCGCAAGUGACGGUACCUGGAGAAGAAGCACCGGCUAACUACGUG